GAUGAACGCUGGCGGCGUGCCUAAUACAUGCAAGUCGAGCGAACAGACGAGGAGCUUGCUCCUCUGACGUUAGCGGCGGACGGGUGAGUAACACGUGGAUAACCUACCUAUAAGACUGGGAUAACUACGGGAAACCGGAGCUAAUACCGGAUAACAUGUUGAACCGCAUGGUUCAACAGUGAAAGACGGUCUUGCUGUCACUUAUAGAUGGAUCCGCGCCGCAUUAGCUAGUUGGUAAGGUAACGGCUUACCAAGGCAACGAUGCGUAGCCGACCUGAGAGGGUGAUCGGCCACACUGGAACUGAGACACGGUCCAGACUCCUACGGGAGGCAGCAGUAGGGAAUCUUCCGCAAUGGGCGAAAGCCUGACGGAGCAACGCCGCGUGAGCGAAGAAGGUCUUCGGAUCGUAAAACUCUGUUAUUAGGGAAGAACAAAUGUGUAAGUAACUAUGCACGUCUUGACGGUACCUAAUCAGAAAGCCACGGCUAACUACGUG
RNAcentral lists this ribosomal RNA (497 nucleotides) under uncultured bacterium. Its description in RNAcentral is "partial 16S ribosomal RNA". It matches the Rfam family "Bacterial small subunit ribosomal RNA", at positions 28 to 507 of the family's 1533-position model. The record is from RNAcentral.